RNAcentral lists this ribosomal RNA (469 nucleotides) under uncultured bacterium. Its description in RNAcentral is "partial 16S ribosomal RNA". It matches the Rfam family "Bacterial small subunit ribosomal RNA", at positions 28 to 507 of the family's 1533-position model. The record is from RNAcentral.
AACGAACGCUGGCGGCGUGCUUAACACAUGCAAGUCGAACGGAAAGGCCCUGCUUGCCGGGUGCUCGAGUGGCGAACGGGUGAGUAACACGUGGGUGAUCUGCCCCUUACUUUGGGAUAAGCCUGGGAAACUGGGUCUAGUACUGGAUAGGACCAUGCUGUAGGUGGUGUGGUGGAAAGAUUAGUUUCGGUAAGGGAUGAGCUCGCGGCCUAUCAGCUUGUUGGUGGGGUAAUGGCCUACCAAGGCGUCGACGGGUAGCCGGCCUGAGAGGGUGGACGGCCACAUUGGGACUGAGACACGGCCCAGACUCCUACGGGAGGCAGCAGUGGGGAAUAUUGCACAAUGGGCGCAAGCCUGAUGCAGCGACGCCGCGUGGGGGAUGACGGCCUUCGGGUUGUAAACUCCUUUCAGCCAUGACGAAGCCCUUGUGGUGACGGUAGUGGUAGAAGAAGCACCGGCUAACUACGUG